This is a small nuclear RNA of Suncus etruscus (white-toothed pygmy shrew), 108 nucleotides long. The record is from RefSeq and is a predicted model, not a curated record. NCBI's taxonomy places the organism in Eukaryota, Metazoa, Chordata, Mammalia, Eulipotyphla, Soricidae.
GUGCUCGCUUCGGCAGCACAUAUACUAAAAUUGGAAUGAUACACAAAAGAUUAGCAUGGCCCCUGCGCAAGGAUGACACGCAAAAAUUAAGUUAAAAUUUAAUUUUAA